Long non-coding RNA from Pelmatolapia mariae (spotted tilapia), 1118 nucleotides. RefSeq lists it as uncharacterized. The record is from RefSeq and is a predicted model, not a curated record. Lineage: Eukaryota; Metazoa; Chordata; Actinopteri; Cichliformes; Cichlidae. The transcript is spliced from 3 exons.
CCCCCCCCCCCUCCCCCGGUAUUCAUUGUCUUCUACAGUAGAGCGGGACAUUUAAUUUACUCUCAGCGGAAUUGACCGGAGAAGGCAUCAGUUCAUGCACUGCACUGGCCCGCACCACGAUUAGUAUAAGGUAAGAAUGAAUGAUUUUUUUUUCCUACUCGGUAUUUCCAUGUUUGCAUUUGAAUAACAUUUAAAAAAAAACUUGUUAAUGUUGUACAUUAACGAGUUUUUUAAAUUGUGUCUACUUCUUACAAUCUGGCAACAAAUAAAUUGCACUGCGAACAAAGUAUAUCAACAAAGAAAACAUUUUCGUUUCAUAAUUUCUUCGUUAUAUUCCCUUACAAAGCUAGCUUUAACGCUUCGAGGUUUCCUUUGUUCUUGCCGUCGCCUCGGCGCUUGACCCAGACUUUCGCUCUGUAGUUGCUUAUACUACAAAAAAUUCUAAAUCUGUGAUAUAUGAUUGAUAAACGUAAAGUUAACUGUAUAAACGUGUUCAAUGACUUUGUUACUUUUGAUGAUUGGAGAGCACUCGCUUCAAUUCGCACACGAAAACUUUAGACUCAGUUUGAAAGCUCACGCAGCAUGCGUGACUCUACGUUGCACGCUCAACUAACUUUAAGUUGCACGCGUACAUGACUUUCCGUUUGUGCCUUGAAUAAUGAAUAAGGCUACGUCCACACGUACCAGCGUAUUUCUGAAACCGCUGAUUUUUCUAUGCGUUUGCACCUUUUGUCCACACGUAAUGUAUGUCUGGCCGUACAUUGUGUUUGUAUUUCCAGGCACAUUUCACGAAGCAGAACGCAGUCUUCAGAGAUAUCCACGUGAACGCUGUGAUACGUCUGACCUUCAGUCCGAAGCUGAAACUCAGACCAGUCUUAAAAGAAAGCACAAACCAAAUCCCCUGUACACAUAUACGGACUCAGAGGAUGAGCAGCCUACAAAAAAACGGUUUCCCCGGGCCCCUCGAGUGAAAAUACCAGCCCUCAUCACUCCGCAGUCUGCCCCCCAGCCCACUGAUAGCAACCAUCAUAAUGCCCCACCCAGCUUCCGGCACCUUUCGCCACUCCGGCACAAACCGACACAGCUUUGCGAUCUCGCCAGCAUGCAGAGUCUGAUGU